This 457-nucleotide long non-coding RNA is filed under the name Ananas comosus (pineapple). RNAcentral describes it as "long non-coding RNA (ACOM_LNC004784)". Lineage: Eukaryota; Viridiplantae; Streptophyta; Magnoliopsida; Poales; Bromeliaceae. The record is from RNAcentral.
UUUAGGUGUGAGAUUACAAGAUAAGGGACUUUGGCUUAGGUAGGUAAAAUAGGUAAGAUGUGAUGUUAUGACAUAGAAUAUGGGCUUGGUCUAAUUUCUGAAAAAGUAAUUUCUGAAAAACUAAUUUUGGUUUGGAGAAGUGAUUUUGGUUAAAAGCUGUAGAGCGUUUGGCUGAGUUUAAAUAAAAGCGAUUUUUCUGAAGUGAUUUUUAAAAGCAGUUUGGCAAAAUAUUUUUGAUGUUUGCAUAAAUUAAUAUUUUAACUAAAUUUUAUUUCAAAAUAAUUUAAAAUUUAAAUUUAAAAUUGAAUUAAAAUUAAAAUUUGUAAAUUUCAAAAUUGUACAAAAUUUAAAAUUUGAUAUUGUAAUUUAAAAAAUAAUUUAAUAAUUUUAAAUUUUAAAUUUAAAAUUUAAAAUUUAAAAUUUAAAAUUUAAAUUUAAAAUUUAAAAUUUAAAAUUU